GACGAACGCUGGCGGCGUGCUUAACACAUGCAAGUCGAACGGAAAGGCCCUUCGGGGUCCUCGAGUGGCGAACGGGUGAGUAACACGUGGGUGAUCUGCCCUGCACUUUGGGAUAAGCCUGGGAAACUGGGUCUAAUACCGAAUAGGACCACGCGCUUCAUGGUGUGUGGUGGAAAGCUUUUGCGGUGUGGGAUGGGCCCGCGGCCUAUCAGCUUGUUGGUGGGGUAAUGGCCUACCAAGGCGACGACGGGUAGCCGGCCUGAGAGGGAGACCGGCCACACUGGGACAGGGAUGCGGCCCAGACUCCUUCGGGAGGCAGCAGUGGGGAAUAGUGCAAAAUGGGCGGAAGCCUGAUGCAGCGACGCCGCGUUGGGGAUGACGGCCUUCGGGUUGUAAACCUCUUUCACCAGGGACGAAGCGUAAGUGACGUUACCUGGAGAAGAAGCACCGGCCAACUACGUG
This 462-nucleotide ribosomal RNA is filed under the name uncultured bacterium. Its description in RNAcentral is "partial 16S ribosomal RNA". It matches the Rfam family "Bacterial small subunit ribosomal RNA", at positions 28 to 507 of the family's 1533-position model. The record is from RNAcentral.